UACGUAGGGAGCAAGCGUUGUCCGGAAUCAUUGGGCGUAAAGCGCGUGUAGGCGGCCCGGAAAGUCUGGUGUGAAAUCUUAAGGCUCAACCUUAAGCUGUCACUGGAUACUGUCGGGCUUGAGUCCGGAAGAGGAGUGUGGAAUUCCUGGUGUAGCGGUGGAAUGCGCAGAUAUCAGGAGGAACACCUAUGGCGAAGGCGGCGCUCUGGGCCGGAACUGACGCUGAGGAGCGAAAGCGUGGGUAGCAAACAGG
RNAcentral lists this ribosomal RNA (253 nucleotides) under uncultured bacterium. RNAcentral's name for it is "partial 16S ribosomal RNA". It matches the Rfam family "Bacterial small subunit ribosomal RNA", at positions 524 to 776 of the family's 1533-position model. The record is from RNAcentral.